GGGCGUUCUAAACGGCCGCCAUCUGCGCACGCUCGCGCGUCGUGGGUCCACGAGGCCGCCGCCGACUGCGUCUCUUCCUCUUGCUGGCGGCAGAGCCUCGGGGGCUGAGGAUGCCUGUGGACCUGGGUCGGCUUGGAAUUAGCCGGCGGGGGCUCGUCGUUCCGCCUCCCUUCGCAGCGGGGGGUGGGGACCGGGGCCCUUCUGCUGGUGGAAAUCCAAUCAUUCUUGCCGCGGGGAGUCCGGGGGAUGCCCCAGCCGCCAAAGUAAUCGCCCCCUCGGGGCGCCCAAAGAUGGACCCCUGGUUUAAGACCCAGGCUUUAAGAACUCUAACGAUUUGAAGAAUAAAGCAACAGAAGAGCUCCAAGACUAAUCAACAGUGCAGAGGACAACAGGUGAUAUUUCUUUGAAGUCCAGUGAAGCCUAUGAACACUUCAGAAUGCUAUAAAUGCAUAGAAGAAAAUAAAAUGGGUUUGUAAAGAAAACCAUUUGGAAAUACAUUUAUCAAUUUAAAAAAGUAAAGUUCUUGGGCCCAAUUUUAAGAAUCCCUGUCUUAAAGCCCGAUAUAAUUGGGAACCUCAUUUUCUUAAAAAGGUUGCCCAUUCCCUGCCUUUUACUUUGAAAAGAAGCAUAACAAGGAUUUUGGCCUCUUUUCAUGACUUCACAACUCAAGUUACUAUCAAAAGGAGUAAGCAAUUUAAACUAUAGUGAAAUAGUUACAGAAUCCAUUUUUAACCUCAUUUGAAUACACAGGUACCUUAAGAGUAUUUGAAUGUUUGGAAGUACAUUUUUUCAAACUCAAUGAUUAUAUCAGAAUGAAUUCAGGACUAUAAUACUGUGGCAGUACCUGAAUCUCAGAAGCAUCUGUUCCAAUUACCUUUCCACCUCGCUGCCCUCUGGACUCUCAUCAUCCAGCUACACUGGUCCAUUGGCUGUCCCUCCACUGCCUGCCUGCCUUCUCCAAAUCUGAAAUCCUCUCCUUUCCCCGUCCCUUCUCCAAGAUCUUUUAUAUGAAUAUAGUUUGAUGCACGUUGCCUCUUAGAAUGUGAGCUCAGAGAGAGUGUGUGUGAGUGUGUUCAUUCACACACACCUUUGUAUCCUCAACACCACUUGGCCCGGCACAGAAUGCUUAAUGUGUAUGACAUUUUGUUGACUGAAAAGUCAUACAUUAUUAUAUAAAGUUUCUCUCAUUUCAAGGAGUCAUAUAACCUGCCUCCUUAUAAUUUAAGGACACUUGUAUAGAGGAAAGCACAUGGCCCACCUUUCAUUUAUACUAUGUAUGACCCCAAGUCACUUAACAUCCCAGAGAUUCUAUUUCCUUACCUGGAAAAUUGAGGGGGCUGGACUCGAUGGCCUUCGAGGUCCUGAUUCUAGAUCUAUGACCCUAAUGCUUUCUGAAGCAAUGGAAACAUACAUGGACAAGCCUUUAAACAUCUGAAGAUAGCCAUUGUCUCCCUUAGUCAAGAAAACCCGAGUUCUAUACACUUUCUGUGGGGCUUUGGGCAAGUCAUUUGGCUCCAGCUGCCUCAAAUUUCUUCAUCUGGAUUGUGUGGACCAAAGCAGUUAAGUAUAAUGCCUGAUACAUAGUAAGCAAUUUAUAAAUGUUAUCUAUUAGACUCAACAAUUCCAGUCCCUGCAAAUGGCUGUAAAGUAUUUAAUAUUUCCUAAAACUAUCACUAUUGCGGUCAUCCUCUGGUUGCUUCAUCAAAAUCUGACACGUUGCCAAUAUUUCCUCACCAGGAUUACAGUAGGAUCAUUCAAUCCUGGAAUCUAAAGAAUGUAGAAUCAGAACUUGAGGUAAAAGAGUCUACUGAAGUAUCAAAAUGGAACAAGUCAAUGCUUAUCCAGAGUGACUAGGGAAAUGGAAUACCUGAAAUCAAGAGGGAUCCGAGAAAUUGAAAAUAAAUUAAACCACUUUUCAGGAUGAAAAAUUGUGCCCAAAGCCUUUUAAAAUAAUUUUAUAUUUGUAUCCUAGAGGGGAAAAAUAUUGCUAGUGUUUUUUGGAACACAACCUGGGAAACAGCCUACUCCAACCUCUUCAUUUUCAAGAUGAAGAAAUAAAUAAGAAACUACAAAGGUUUGACUUGUCCAAGAUCAUUCAAAUGGAUGACAAAACCAGAACUAAAUAAGUCUUCCAGAUCCCAGCCCACUGCUCUAUUUCAUUGGACCAUGUUUCCUCUCCUAUAUCUAUAUUCAUAAAGUUUAACAUUGUGAGCUUUUUGGAGUUUAAUCACACUUGGCUCAUAGUUGAGCUCAUGGUCAACUAUACUUCCUAUGGCUUUCUGGCCCCCCAGGAACUGUUAACCAGGUUUCUGCCCAUCCUGAAAGUUAAUGUAAUUGAAUAUCUAAACUUAAUUGUGAGACUUACAUUAAUCCUAUGAAAGGUCUUCAUAGUAUUAAUGUCAAGGUAAAUGUUAAUCUUAAACCUGUUGUCUAUUCUGUUAGCUACACCUUCCAGCUUUGAGUCAUUGAGAAAUUUGGUAAGCAAGCCUUGAGUGCCUUCAUCUAAAGCACUGAACAAGGCAAGGUCAAGGACAGUCUUAUGGCAUACUUCUUGAGAUCCUCCCUCCAGGAUGACAUCAACCCAGUAGAAACAACACUUGGUACGUGUGAUCUGAUCCCCUGAUGCCUUUUUUCCUGGCACCUCUUGGCAUAAAAAGGAUCCAUGGAUUAUUAGGCAGACUAAUGUUUUGUAUAAUCCCAAUAAUGUUGGUGCUACUAAGCAAAUAAGGAAUUGUUUAAGGCAUCUUUCCAGCUUUAUAUAGUCCUAUGUUUAACUGCCACACAGGUGCUGGGAGGGGAUAGAAAGAGUUGGAAGAAAAGAAACUUAGAGGAGGAGGGAUUUAAUGUUUUCAAGUAGCAAAGAGGAGGAGGAAGAGUGGGGGGACACACCAAGCUUUAAGGUUUCUUUAAAAUACAGAGAAAAAAUUAAUGAACUGAAAUUAUUACUCUUCAGUAAAUUAUUUUAAUAUUUUAAAGUGCAAAUAGUUCAUCCUGUUUUUGAAUAGAGCCUAUUAAUUUAUGUAUUUGAAGUUAAAGGCAUUUUCAGAGACAGAAAAAAGGGGUAGAAUAUUCAACAUUCUAUGUUCUAAUCGAUUUUAAAAGAACAAUCCCUUAGUUUUGGCAUGCCAUGGAAAAUCAAUUUUGCAGUGUCAAACUUCUGAAAAUCAUUUUAUAAAUAAUUUUAUAAAUAAAGUAAAACAAAGGCUUUUGGUGGUUCUAAUUUUAGGUUAGCUAUUUUGAGGUUAAGAUUUUUUUUAAGGAAAAAGAAAUCUAAUUAGAUUUAGAGUAAAAAAUUGUUGUUAAUACAUAUACACAUCUUUUAAAUUUAAAGAUUUUAACAGGAUUAAACUGAAUGAUAAUAUGGAAUAUAAUGUCAGCUUCAGGGCAUUUGCUGCCUGCCACAGAUGCAUGCUCAUUCAAAUCCCUUCUCUAAAGAAGUAAUGUAAUAAUUAUAGAUUUCCAUCAGUUUAAGAAAACACAACCUGAAUUUUACUUCGAGACAUUUUCUUUUGAACUUUAUAUAUUGUAAAAUAUUUGGUUGUUUGUAGGCAAUCUAUUUUGUUUUGAAAGAGAGCUACUAAAUAGAAAAUUGCAUUAGAAAAUUUUUAUAGGGUGAUUAGAUAAGAGAAAAUCUUCACACACACACACACAUACCUUGCUCCUGAUAUGAUACUGGGUGCCCCAAAAGUCUUAGUGUAGUUUUAAGAUUUAAAAACUUAAUGGCUUAAAACAGCCCUGACUUGGUCCUUGUGAAACCUAUUAAAUUUGUUUAAAGUUCUUUUUGUAGUAUCAAAAAAGAAUUAGGAUCAAAUUUUUCCAUUGUGGUUGUAAAGUUGUGGCUUCUGAAAGUUCUAUUUUGUAUUCAGGAAAAACAAAGAUCUCAUAUUGCCCCAUGUGUCCCAUCUGGUUUUAGAUACCAUGGAGGAAUUAUAUUUUUCAAUGAAUUAAACAUAUUCUUCAUAAUGUAGUCUUGAUUUUUUUUUUAACGGAUGCCUAGAAUUGUACUACAUUUGUCAUAAAGUAUUGGGUCCUGUGAAGAUCAUUUGCACCAUAGGUAAAUUUUAAGUACUGUUUUAAGAAUGAAUUAACUUUUCUGCCAUGAAGUUGCUUUGGUUUAAAAUGUUCAUUUUCUCUUAUCCCAAAAUAUAUGCAGAAAUGUUGAAGAUAAGUUGCUAUAACUCUGGUAGAUAAAAAGAGCAAUGUCAUUUGUGUUUAAUUUAAAAACAUUGGAUAGAUGACAACAAACUGUUUUUCUACAUAGAAAAAUAGGCGUAAAACCUAGAAUUAAAAAAAAAAAUAAA
This is a long non-coding RNA of Monodelphis domestica (gray short-tailed opossum), 4301 nucleotides long. RefSeq lists it as uncharacterized. Lineage: Eukaryota; Metazoa; Chordata; Mammalia; Didelphimorphia; Didelphidae. The record is from RefSeq and is a predicted model, not a curated record.